Molecule: long non-coding RNA, 954 nt
Filed under: Pongo abelii (Sumatran orangutan)
Lineage: Eukaryota; Metazoa; Chordata; Mammalia; Primates; Hominidae
Description: lincRNA
Source: RNAcentral
UUGAUAUGUAUUAUCUCAGUUUAAUAUUCACAGUUUGUCUCCAUGAGGUCAUACAGCUGUUUGAGGUUGCUCGGAGAGUAAGAAGCAGAAUGAGAACUAGAACAGAAGCUCACUUUGGCCUGAAGGCUCAUGUGCUGAGCAUCUUCCCUCGUCUGUCUCCCUAGUCCCCUAGCCUGGUGCCCAGUAUGUAGAAGACCUUCAUCCUAGAUGCAAUGGGAUUAAACUUGGAGAAAAUGGGAUUAAACUUGGACAAACACUACCUAUUUGGGCUUGUGAUGAUGGCUUUCAAACUUCUUAAAGCAAUGAAGUAUUUUUCCAGGAGAAAUCUUACACAAGAAGCCCAGCACACUGAGUCAAGCAUAUGUAGGUGGAAGAUAUCUGAUUGAGACCAACUAGAGAUAAACCUGUAGAUUCAACUGUUCCACCACAGCGAAUUCUAAGAAUCCACUGACUGUGAUCUGCAAGCUCCUACUCCACAGGAGGUCAGGGCACACAGCUUGAAACUGGAAGGCAGAAGAGUGACAGGGAAGGAUCAUGGACUCUGAAAUUAGAGCUAUCUGUGUUUUAAUACUAGUUCCAAUAGGCACAUGGUCUUGGAUAAAUGGUUUAAAUUCUCUGAGUCUCAAUUUCUUUCUCUGCAAAUAGGGAUGCUUAGUACAUAUGUAAUAGGGUUCUUACAGAAAAUUGUAUAACUUGUUAAACACACAUGUACUAAGAGCUUGGUGCCCAGUAUGCACUGAAUAAAUGCUAGCUCCUUUUCUUUCGUCUCUAUGACCCUUCCCAAAUCUCCCAGCCCCAUAUUGCUUCAUGUAGUGUAUGUAUAUUUGGGAAAAUUUGUGUGCACAUUUACAGAUGGGAUCCUACUCUUCUAUUGACAGACUGUCUUUUCAGAUGUGCCUUACUUUCAUUGCAUUGGUUUUUCAACUGAAAGUGAACAUAAAGGUUUUAAGCAUG